RNAcentral lists this ribosomal RNA (274 nucleotides) under uncultured bacterium. Its description in RNAcentral is "partial 16S ribosomal RNA". It matches the Rfam family "Bacterial small subunit ribosomal RNA", at positions 523 to 796 of the family's 1533-position model. The record is from RNAcentral.
AUACGGAGGGUGCAAACGUUGCUCGGAAUCAUUGGGCGUAAAGCGCACGUAGGCGGCUUGAUAAGUCGGAUGUGAAAGCCCUCGGCUUAACCGGGGAAGUGCAUUCGAAACUGUCAGGCUUGAGUAUGGGAGAGGGUUGCGGAAUUCCCGGUGUAGAGGUGAAAUUCGUAGAUAUCGGGAGGAACACCAGCGGCGAAGGCGGCAGCCUGGACCAAUACUGACGCUGCGGUGCGAAAGCGUGGGGAGCAAACAGGAUUAGAAACCCCAGUAGUCC